UAGUUGGUGAGGUAACGGCUCACCAAGCCGACGAUGGAUAGGGGAACUGAGAGGUUGGUCCCCCACACUGGUACUGAGACACGGACCAGACUCCUACGGGAGGCAGCAGUGAGGAAUAUUGGUCAAUGGGCGGGAGCCUGAACCAGCCAAGUCGCGUGAAGGAAGAAGGAUCUAUGGUUCGUAAACUUCUUUUGCAGGGGAAUAAAGUGCGGGACGUGUCCUGUUUUGUAUGUACCCUGAGAAUAAGGAUCGGCUAACUCCGUGCCAGCAGCCGCGGUAAUACGGAGGAUCCGAGCGUUAUCCGGAUUUAUUGGGUUUAAAGGGUGCGUAGGUGGUUUGAUAAGUCAGCGGUGAAAGUUUGCAGCUUAACUGUAAAAAUGCCGUUGAAACUGUCGGACUUGAGUGUAAAUGAGGUAGGCGGAAUGCGUGGUGUAGCGGUGAAAUGCUUAGAUAUCACGAAGAACUCCGAUUGCGAAGGCAGCUUACUGGAUUGUAACUGACGCUGAUGCUCGAAAGUGUGGGUAUCAAACAGGAUUAGAUACCCUGGUAGUCCACACAGUAAACGAUGAAUACUCGCUGUUGGCGAUAUAC
Molecule: ribosomal RNA, 591 nt
Filed under: uncultured bacterium
Lineage: Bacteria
Description: bacterial SSU rRNA
Rfam family: Bacterial small subunit ribosomal RNA
Source: RNAcentral